AGCAGCCGCGGUAAUUCCAGCUCCAAUAGCGUAUAUUAAAGUUGUUGCAGUUAAAAAGCUCGUAGUUGAAUUUCGGGAUCAAUACGCCGGUCGUGCUUCGGUACGUACUAACGAUAUUGAUUUCUCCCUUCUGACGAACCGUGAUGUCAUUAAUUUGGUGUUACGGGGAGUCAGGACUGUUACUUUGAAAAAAUUAGAGUGUUUAAAGCAAGCAAUCGCUCGAAUACAUUAGCAUGGAAUAAUGGAAUAGGACGUUCGAACCUAUUUUGUUGGUUUCUAGGAUCGACGUAAUGAUUAAUAGGGAUAGUUGGGGGCAUUAGUAUUCAAUUGUCAGAGGUGAAAUUCUUGGAUUUAUUGAAGACUAACUACUGCGAAAGCAUUUGCCAAGGAUGUUUUCAUUAAUCAAGAACGAAAGUUAGGGGAUCGAAGACGAUCAGAUACCGUCGUAGUCUUAACCAUAAACUAUGCCGACUAGGGAUCGGAUGAUGUUAAUUUUUUAAUGUACUCUAUUCGGCGCCUU
This 520-nucleotide ribosomal RNA is filed under the name uncultured Glomus. RNAcentral's name for it is "SSU rRNA". It matches the Rfam family "Eukaryotic small subunit ribosomal RNA", at positions 569 to 1089 of the family's 1831-position model. The record is from RNAcentral. Lineage: Eukaryota; Fungi; Glomeromycota; Glomeromycetes; Glomerales; Glomeraceae.